CAAGAAGUAGCUUACACAACAAAAGCAUUCAACUUACAAUUGAAAUACGUUCAUCAUGAACCUUCCUGA
RNAcentral lists this transfer RNA (69 nucleotides) under Stenodactylus petrii. Its description in RNAcentral is "tRNA-Val". The record is from RNAcentral. Lineage: Eukaryota; Metazoa; Chordata; Lepidosauria; Squamata; Gekkonidae.